Molecule: ribosomal RNA, 252 nt
Filed under: uncultured bacterium
Lineage: Bacteria
Description: partial 16S ribosomal RNA
Rfam family: Bacterial small subunit ribosomal RNA
Source: RNAcentral
UACGUAGGGGGCUAGCGUUAUCCGGAAUUACUGGGCGUAAAGGGUGCGUAGGUGGUUUCUUAAGUCAGAGGUGAAAGGCUACGGCUCAACCGUAGUAAGCCUUUGAAACUGGGGAACUUGAGUGCAGGAGAGGAGAGUGGAAUUCCUAGUGUAGCGGUGAAAUGCGUAGAUAUUAGGAGGAACACCAGUUGCGAAGGCGAUUCUCUGGACUGUAACUGACGCUGAGGCUCGAAAGCGUGGGGAGCAAACAGG